CCCGCCCCUACCUCCUGGACGUGCUGCUCCGCCUGGGUGUGCGCGUGGGAGACCCACAGCCCCUACCUAACGUUGCCCACCCCUUGGGCACCUGUAAGGCAAGCAGGCCCGCGGGGGACACAGAGCGCCUCACCCCUCCUGCCCACGCGGCCGCAGCCUGGCCCCUUCCGUGUCCCACACCGAUGGGCUCUAGCCCAGAAGUCACCUCUGCAUCCCUCAGGCCUUCUCUUAGCGUGCACAGGUGGCCUUGCGGCUUGUGGGGGAGUGAGUAGCUGUGAAAAUGCCUCUCAGCCCCCCCCCCCUCAAGUUUGUUCAGGUCCUAGAGACUCUCUGCCUGAGGGGGCCCUGCCCCAGGGCCGCAUCCACACCUCUGACUGUGGGUGUCGCCGCGGGUGCGGGUGCCCUGCACUGAGCAGCUGGCCGUGGCCACGAGGGUGGGUGGCCACAAGGGUGGCCGUCUGUUUCAGAACUGGGAAGUGGUACUUCAUGUAUGAUUUUGUUUCCUCCCAAGUAAGAAAAAUUUGGGGGUAUUGGAAAGCUUGCAAACUCAACGUUAAUCUAAUUUCCAGUCUCCUUGUGGAUGGGUAAUAAUCACCAAGUACUAGUGGACCCUGGUAAAUGAGCCUUUCAAUGAAAAUGUCCUGUUGUCACACAACAGGUGACUCACCAGUUUUGUGCUCUGCCUGCCGAGUGUGCCCUCACACACGCCCAAGUGCACUCACAGGCACGCACAUGCUCACACACAGCCACAUGCACUCAUGCGUACUCACACAUGUGACUCCUCUAGUCACACACACAGUCGUACAUACGCACAUGGCCACGUAAUCACUUAUACAGUCACAUGCACACCCACAGUCAUACCCAUAGUCACAGUCACGUGGGCGCACACAUAUGUGCGCACUCACUCACAAGUCUCUCCUUAAAAACACAGAGGGGGAAAUUGUUUUCAAGGGCUGGAUUAAGGCGGGAGCAGGCUCAAGGGCUGGCUUUUAAAAACCAUUGUCUUUUAUUGGAAGUGCUCACAAAAGACGUUUUGUGCUAGAGAAAGAAAGCAUGAUCAAAUGAGAGGUAAAUGCAGAAAGCGGUAACACCCGGAGGCAGGACAGAAUGUUCUAUGUUCUGUGCCACAGGAGCAACUUAUUUGAGGAGAAAGUGGGCAGUCCUUGGGUGAGGGUAGGUGUGUAUAUGUUUUUAGUAUUUUCCAUCACUGUGUGGAAAUCAGUGACCUGGUGGCUUUGUACAGCUGUAUGCAGUGAUUUUAAAGAUUUUAUUAAUUAUAUGAGUAAAAGUAAAACUCCUCUGCCUUUUAGUAGCUAUACCCUUUUCCCACUAACCGGAGGCUGAUUUCUAGACCUUUUUUCCAUGCAUCUAAGUGUAUAUAACUCUAAGGAUGAGACGGAAAUAGAAUAUUAUAAUCAGAUAAAGUAGGUUAUAGAAGAGUACUAUAUUACCUCAGUUUUUGACUUAUUUUGUAAAAGUCAAUAACUGAUGUUUGUCUUGUUUGACUUUAAUGUGUCAAGUCUUAAUUAUAUUUUAAAUUGAAGCCUUACAUUUUAAAAAAUCAAUUUUGUAUUCUUCCUGUGGAGCUCUUUGUUCUGGUAUCUCUCUCAAGUUCUAGGCACAAAUUUAGUUAGAGGGGAAGCAUUUAAUUCCGUGGGACCUAGAUCAGCCACCAGAUGAGUUGCAAAAACAAAAAUCCCACCUGUUGAAUAACGUCUCUUUUCUAACCCCUAUUUGAAUGCAGAGAAAUAAAUUUGCUUUUACUUAAAGUGAAUAUUUUAAUACCAGAUAGGCAGAGUUAGCAAUGCUUGCCAAGGUGAAUUGGAGACCUACGUCUCUGUAAACGCUCUUGGUCCCAUCCCCACCCUGCCCUGGAUGACCACUGCAGCACUCGGUCCUGUGUGGGAGGACUUGUCCUGGAGCUGAGACGGCAGGUCAGGAGCACAUAAAUUGACUCCGAGUUUAAGGUGGGGAGCGGAGUGGCACAACUUGGCCUCAUCUUGCACUUAGUGCAGAUACGAGUAAUCAAGAUGCCCAGAUUUCUGCUUUUGUUUUAAAACAGCAACAUGUUGAAGAUGUUGCUGGUGGCAUCCUAAAGAGACUGACUUCCUGAAGCAUCUGUCUGUCUCUGCGUCUGCAGGUCUGCUUGUACAUCCCUGUCUGUCGCUUUCCUCCCCCUCCCUCUUUCUACAGGCUCCCCGCCCCCCUCUCUCUCAUAACUGGCCCCAAUACAAAAUUCAGCACGUUUUUCUACUCUGCAUUUAUUAAGUAGAGUUGGUGUGCCUCAGUCUUCACUUUAAAAGCAAACGAGUGGGACAUUUAUGUUGCCCUGGCUAAUGAUGCUCCAGAAAAAACAAAAAGGUUCUACAUGUGAUACAUGAUGUCUGUUCAUUGCUGUGACUGACAUUUUGAGAAAGUUUUCUGUCACUGUGCUACAAUUUCUUAAUGCUUAAAUAAAAGAGAAGUUCAAUGAC
Molecule: long non-coding RNA, 2474 nt
Organism: Galeopterus variegatus (Sunda flying lemur)
Lineage: Eukaryota; Metazoa; Chordata; Mammalia; Dermoptera; Cynocephalidae
Exons: 2
Source: RefSeq, a predicted model, not a curated record